CUGCAAGCUGAGGGGGCCGGCUCUGGCCUUGGCCAGGCCAGAAAGGGGCUCCCACAGUGCAGCGGUGGGCCGAAGGCCUCCUCAAGUGCCGCCAAAGUGGGAGCCCAGGCAGAGGAGGCACCAAGAGCGAGCGAGGGCUGGGAGGACUGCCAGCACGCUGCCACCUCUCAAUGAGAUCCUGGGCAUCAAGCAAGUGCACACUGAGCAGAGGCUUUAUACAUGCCUUGGAAAGGUAGAGCAAGAAGUACCAGAUUGU
RNAcentral lists this long non-coding RNA (256 nucleotides) under Homo sapiens (human). RNAcentral describes it as "HSALNT0271936". Lineage: Eukaryota; Metazoa; Chordata; Mammalia; Primates; Hominidae. The record is from RNAcentral.